Molecule: non-coding RNA, 64 nt
Organism: Kluyvera ascorbata ATCC 33433
Lineage: Bacteria; Pseudomonadati; Pseudomonadota; Gammaproteobacteria; Enterobacterales; Enterobacteriaceae
Source: Rfam
GCUUAGGGUCAAGUUAGCCCCCGUUAUGUUGCCAGAUUUACUGAGCAACGUGCGGGGGUUUUCU